GAGCCCCAGGAUUGUGGGGAGGAGCGAGGAGCGUCAGGCGGGGCAGAGCCUGGGGUCUUCAUGAAAUCUGAGGACAAGGACCCUUCUCUGGGCUGGGUUUGAGUCCCACGCUCUUCCACAGAUGUCUUCCUCCACUGGGCAGGUCCCUCAGUCUCACCUCCCUUUUUCCAUCUGUAAAGAGGAGGUAGGUGACAAUAGUCUUCUGCUCUUGGGGUGGCUGAGGGCUCCCUGAGCUGACAGAUGUCCCGUCAGGCCUGUGCCAGGCUCAGAGGAGAUGAUCAAUCCCAGGAAGGGCUGGGCGUCUGUGGUUUUCUCUGCCUUCUGGCUUCUUCUCUGUUCCCUCCUUUUUCUACCCAGAUGACCCAGCGCCUCUCCUGGCGCCCCUGCUCCCCACCCAUCCCUCGCUUCUCUGCAUCUUUGAACUUUUGCUCCUGCUGAGAGAGCCACCCUGUACCCCACCUCAGUCCAAACUCUAGGAGAAAGUGCGCGAGGAGAGGGCAGAUGAGCUGCUGUGAGGCAGUGCCUCUGCCCGGAGGUUUGGACACUGAGAGCGUUGCCAAAACAGUCUGUCAUCCCUGGCCUUGCUCAGUGGGUUAAGGAUCCAGUGUUGCUGUGAGCUGUGGUGUAGGUCACAGACGCGGCUCGGAUCCCGAGUUGCUGUGGCUCUGGCGGAGGCCAGUGGCAAUAGCUCUGAUUAGACCCCUAGUCUGGGAACCUCCAUAUGCCAUGGGAGUGGCCCAAGAAAAGGCAAAAAGACAAAACAAAAAAAACCCCACAACAUAGGGUCCCUGAGGAUGCAGGUUCAAUCCCUGGCCUUGCUCAGUGGAUUAAGUAUCCAGCACUGCCAUAGGUGCAGGGUAGGUGGCAGAUGCAGCCUGGAUCUGGCAUGGCUGUGGCUGUGGCCUAGGCCAGCAGCUGCAGCUCUGAUUCAGCCCCUAGCCUGGGAACUUCUGUAUGCUGCAGGUGUGGCCCUAAAAACAAAACAAAGCCAAACAAAAAAGGUAGGCCUGAGGGUGUGGCAGCCUCUGGGGAUGGUUGAUGGGCCACCUCAACUGAGCACUUGGGACAUCCUAGCCCAGUGCUGGGGGAGCUGUUACCACGUUGGAACUUGGCAAGGGCAGUGCAUGAUGCCCCAGCCCCGCCGCCCACUUUCUGAGUCUUGAGCUGUUUUAGUGGGAGGUGGCUCAGCUCCCACUGGGAGUAGUAGACUGAGAACGAGAACCUUCCACCCAAACUCAGCACAAGGCUAGAAACAUGUCCUUUGGAUUUAGGGCUGGGGUGUGUGUGUGUGUGUGUUGCGGUUUGCUGGGGCUGCCAUAACAAAAUCCACAAACUGGGCAGCUUAAACAGCAGACACUGAUUUUCUCACAGUUCUGGAGGCCAGAAGUCCCAAGAUCCAGGGCUUGGCAGGCUUGGUUUCUUCCACGUGUGGCUGCCUUCUAGCCGUUGCCUCCCACGGUCAUCCUGCUGGCUGUGUGUCUAUGUCCUCUCGUUGCCGGGGUCUCGUCUCAAACAGGCCCCUGAGGCUCUGGAGAGGAUUUUGUCCUUGCUUCCAGCCUUGUCCUGGGGUCCAGAGGGGCUGUGAGGCCUGGGCCCAGGUCAGGCUUCUGAAGCUAGAGAGGCCUGGAAAAGCCAGAAGGCGCACGUGCCCCACUUGCUCUCUGGGAAGCUGCCUCCCCGGUCAGUGCAAGAAGCAGCGUGGGUGGGCUGGGGGUGGCGGUACCGGCUUCUUAGCUGCAGUUGGGAGGGUGCUCUCAGCCAGAUCCGUCCCCCUAGAGAGCCCUGCAGGGUCUGG
This 1795-nucleotide long non-coding RNA is filed under the name Sus scrofa (pig). RNAcentral describes it as "lncRNA (ENSSSCG00035000185.1)". The record is from RNAcentral. Lineage: Eukaryota; Metazoa; Chordata; Mammalia; Artiodactyla; Suidae.